Molecule: long non-coding RNA, 793 nt
Organism: Poecilia latipinna (sailfin molly)
Lineage: Eukaryota; Metazoa; Chordata; Actinopteri; Cyprinodontiformes; Poeciliidae
Exons: 2
Source: RefSeq, a predicted model, not a curated record
AAUACAGGAUCUUAUUUUAAUAAAAUAAAUCAUUAAUGUUGACUUUUUUAAAAUAAAUUGUAGUUUCACUGGCAAAUUAUUUGACUAAGCAUUAAUCCCACGUUAAAGUGAAAUAAUCUGUCAAUGGAACUAGAACUGUUUCAAUAUUAAGGAUCUUAUUAAUAAGAUCCUGUAUUUUGCUGAAAAGUUCCUUUUUCAAGUUCAAGAUAUUUGCACUAUAAACUGGACCAAAAUACUCGGAAGAUUUUGUGUUUUUGCAGUGAAGUUUCUAUAGAUGCUUAUAGCAGUGGAUGCAACGUAUCUGCUGUAGCUGUCUGUGUUGCAACUUCUCUGAGGAAACCUCUGACUAAAGACUGUUGUUAAAUAAUCUGGAUUGUUUGUUUCUCUUCCCUGAAUAACAAAAGUUCAUAAAAGACAUGGAGGUUUGUGGUUGUAAUGGGACAAAACGCUAAAAGGCCGGUGAAUGCUUUGGCUAGGCUGCAGCACCAGGAGGGAGAGCAACACGCUGCGCUUGUCCCUGACUGUUCAGUGGGAUUAAAGAUGUGGGAUUAACAGAUUCUUCAAGCUUCAUCUGAUGUGUGUGUUGUCUGCCAACGCCUUCGAGUGUGUUUUGUCUGAGACGUUUUUAAAGAUUGCUUUUGCAUCUGUGAGUCGUAUCUCUUUACAAAUGCCUUUUUACAAUUGGCCAACUGGUUCUGUUUCAUUCCAGUGUAACUUUGACUUAUUGAGCUCAACUGACCUGUUAAAACAAACUCCUGUAUAAACAUAUAAAAAAUAAAGUUAUUACAUUAAA